This 819-nucleotide ribosomal RNA is filed under the name uncultured Bacillota bacterium. RNAcentral describes it as "bacterial SSU rRNA". It matches the Rfam family "Bacterial small subunit ribosomal RNA", at positions 559 to 1379 of the family's 1533-position model. The record is from RNAcentral. Lineage: Bacteria; Bacillati; Bacillota.
CGUAAAGCGAGCGCAGGCGGUUGCUUAGGUCUGAUGUGAAAGCCUUCGGCUUAACCGAAGAAGUGCAUCGGAAACCGGGCGGCUUGAGUGCAGAAGAGGACAGUGGAACUCCAUGUGUAGCGGUGGAAUGCGUAGAUAUAUGGAAGAACACCAGUGGCGAAGGCGGCUGUCUGGUCUGCAACUGACGCUGAGGCUCGAAAGCAUGGGUAGCGAACAGGAUUAGAUACCCUGGUAGUCCAUGCCGUAAACGAUGAGUGCUAGGUGUUGGAGGGUUUCCGCCCUUCAGUGCCGGAGCUAACGCAUUAAGCACUCCGCCUGGGGAGUACGACCGCAAGGUUGAAACUCAAAGGAAUUGACGGGGGCCCGCACAAGCGGUGGAGCAUGUGGUUUAAUUCGAAGCUACGCGAAGAACCUUACCAGGUCUUGACAUCUUGCGCUAACCUUAGAGAUAAGGCGUUCCCUUCGGGGACGCAAUGACAGGUGGUGCAUGGUCGUCGUCAGCUCGUGUCGUGAGAUGUUGGGUUAAGUCCCGCAACGAGCGCAACCCUUGUUACUAGUUGCCAGCAUUAAGUUGGGCACUCUAGUGAGACUGCCGGUGACAAACCGGAGGAAGGUGGGGACGACGUCAGAUCAUCAUGCCCCUUAUGACCUGGGCCACACACGUGCUACAAUGGACGGUACAACGAGUCGCAAGCUCGCGAGAGUAAGCUAAUCUCUUAAAGCCGUUCUCAGUUCGGACUGUAGGCUGCAACUCGCCUACACGAAGUCGGAAUCGCUAGUAAUCGCGGAUCAGCAUGCCGCGGUGAUACGUUCCCGGGC